UAAGUAAAGAUUCGGCCGCGUAUCCUCAUUUUUAGCAGGAUACGACACGACGUUCUCUCCCAACUGAAACCCUAGGUCUCAGUCUUCCAAUAGAACUUUGAAUUGAAAUCUCUUUGUCCCUCUUCUCUUUCUGAGAUAUGGCGAAGAAAAGAAAGCAGCGAUCCUCUGAACCCGCACCCGUUGAAACCCUUGUUCCGCAGCUUCAAGAGGUUCAAUCGCUGCCUGAAACAAUCCAGGAAGAAGACCCUCAAAAUGUGAACGUAGAAGAUGAUUCUGGACGACAACAACAAGAGCCUCAAGAAGCAGAGGAACAGGAGCUAGAAGAACUUGAGCACGGGAGAGAAGACGUAGAAAAAGAACCAGAAGAAGAAGAAGAAGGGGAAGGAAGACAACCGGAAGAGCAUCACUCUCAUAACCUAGAAGUCUCAUCAAGCGAAGCUGCACAGUCAAUCCCAGAAUUAGCUGAAGCGGAUAGUACUAAUGAAGGUGCUAGUAAUGGAAACCAAGCAAUUGAUGAAGAGGAAAAUGAAGACGACGAAUCUCUUGAGAAGCUUCUAGAGCCUUUGGGGAAAGACCAACUGGUUGGGCUCCUCAGAAAGUCCGUGGAUAAGUAUCCUGAUUUGAUAGAUUCUGUGCGUGAAAUUGCGGAUGCUGACCCCGGCCACCGCAAGAUCUUUGUGCACGGUCUCGGCUGGGAUACGACUGCUGAAACUCUCAAAUCUGAGUUUGGGAAGUACGGGGAGAUAGAGGACUGCAAGGCCGUCACCGACCGUGUCUCAGGGAAAUCCAAAGGCUAUGCCUUUAUAUUAUUCAAGCAGCGGGCUGGGGCACGAAAAGCCCUCAGGCAGCCUCAGAAGAAGAUAGGUAAUAGGAUUACGUCCUGUCAGUUGGCCACUGCAGGGCCUGUACCAGCUCCAUCCCCAACUACGCCAGCAGUAUCUGAGUACACUCAGAGGAAGAUUUUUGUGAGCAAUGUAUCAGCUGAGCUAGCGCCUGAGAAGCUUCUAGAGUUCUUUGGGCAGUACGGGGAGAUUGAGGAAGGCCCGCUUGGGAUUGAUAAGCAGACUGGGAAACCUAAGGGGUUUGCACUAUUCGUGUAUAAGUCAGUUGAGAGUGCAAAAAAGGCGCUCGAGGAGCCUCACAAGAAGUUCGAAGGUCAUACCCUGCAUUGCCAGAGGGCCAUUGAUGGGCCAAAAUCAAACAAGACGGGUUAUGCUGGUGCAGUUCACCAUCAGCAUCACCAUCAUCAGCCACAAUACCACCACGCAGCCAAGAAAGGUAAGUACUCAUCUGGUGCACACGGCCCUGGUCAUUUGAUGGCACCGUCUGGGCCAUCUGUGAACUUCAGUCCUGGAGUGGCAUCCCAAGGUCUGAACCCAGCGCUUGGGCAGGCCUUAACGGCUUUGGGUCUUGGUAACCUACUUGGAGGGCUUGGUGGUGCACCAGUGAAUAUGGGAGGGCCGCCUGCUGGAUAUGUUAAUCAGGCUGGUGGGGGAUACGGGAUUGAACCAGGCAUGCAGGGUGGAUACACAAACCUACAGAUGAACCCUCAUAUUGGACAGAGCAGUGCAGGCAGAGCUCAACAAGGUGGUCCUACUUAUAUGGGACAUUAGAUGCCUUCAUAGAUGCAUCAAUCAUUUACUUUUCAGCUCUGGUGAUUCUCUGAAGUUCCAGCCACUCUUGCAAAUGAAGUCUUAAAUUUGGAAUGAAAAGUUACUAUUUUCUCUAUAGGUGGUGGCAGCAGCAGCAGAGUAAGUGGCGGUGGCAGUGGCAUUGGCAACAAGAGAGCGAGCAGUGGUAGUAAAGGUGGUGGGGGCAGUGAUGCUUUUGCAGUGGUGGCAAGGAACAGACUGGGGAAAGAACUGGGAUGACAUGGUGACUGCCUAAAAUGAUUUUAUAAGACAAAUUUCCAGAAGCAAUGAUUUGUGGUUUACUGAUGCAUCUUUUUGCUUAUUAAAAUGGUUUUUGAAAGAGUUGCUCAAAAAAUUAAGACACUUUCAAGCAAACACCAUAUGCUUUUGUGCAAUUUGAAAUAUUUUAUCUUUGCCUGCAAACUAUUUUAGCCUAUGUUUAUUAGUUGAUUAGCUGAGAAUUCCAGCAAUGGAGUUCUCGAUGUUGAUUUCCUUGGUAGCAAAUAUCUUAAAAGAAUUUCUAUUAUUACUCUAUCCAUUUUAUUUGUUGCUUGACAUUCAAAACUUCAUUUUUUCACUGGAAUGUUUUACCUGAGAAUUCUCGAAUUUAUUUCUUAAACUUUGGAAUAUUUUAUUUGAUGGCCCACUUUUGGAAAUGUCCUAUAAAGAGGAGAGACUUCAAAUACUGAACUGCCUUGAGAAGCUUUCCUUUGUCAAGGCAAGGGGCUCUGGCAUUGGUAUGUAUCGCUGUCCUAUUCUGCAUUCACUGAUGUGUUGUUUUACUUUCACUUCUUCCUCUGAGGUAUGAAGUUAGUCCUCUGGUUGGCUGGUCCAGUUGAAUUUGAAACUAUAAUUGUAGUGCCUUGUUCUGGAAACUUUUUCUUUCUUCCUUCCCUCUGUAGACGAGAUGGCUUUGAAUGUAGCUGCUGGAACUGAGAACAGCUUUCUGGAUGUUGAGCAGCUCGAAGUUACCCAUGCUUGUCAUCUUUUUGUUAUCAAGAAAGGUUAUUUUGGAACUUGUAAUUCUUAUGGAGUUGAGCAAAUCAUUGUAUAUGAGCUGAGAAAAUUUUUGGACUUGGUUCUUAGCUUUGCGUCAGUGCGGUUGCCUGAAAAUGAGUUAUGCCCUUCGGUAUUAAGCAUCAAGUAGUUUUUUGGCCGUCUGCAGUAUGCGUCAUCAGCAGUUGCUUAAUUCAGAUUUGAAAAUUUGACAUGUAUGAUUGAGAUGACUGUUGGAUCUAAUCAUAUUCAUAUGUUUCUUUGGGCAA
RNA transcript from Manihot esculenta (cassava), 2896 nucleotides. It is a transcript of the gene named UBP1-associated protein 2A, with no coding region annotated. NCBI's taxonomy places the organism in Eukaryota, Viridiplantae, Streptophyta, Magnoliopsida, Malpighiales, Euphorbiaceae. The transcript has 3 exons. The record is from RefSeq and is a predicted model, not a curated record.